UAGAGUUUGAUCCUGGCUCAGAUUGAACGCUGGCGGCAGGCCUAACACAUGCAAGUCGAGCGGUAGCAGGAAGUGCUUGCACUUCGCUGACGAGCGGCGGACGGGUGCGUAACACGUAGGAAUCUGCCCGGUAGUGGGGGAUAGCCCGGAGAAAUUCGGAUUAAUACCGCAUACGCCCUAAGGGGGAAAGCAGGAGAUCGGUUCGCCGACCUUGCGCUAUCGGAUGAGCCUGCGUCGGAUUAGCUUGUUGGUGGGGUAAAGGCCAACCAAGGCAACGAUCCGUAGCUGGUCUGAGAGGAUGAUCAGCCACACUGGGACUGAGACACGGCCCAGACUCCUACGGGAGGCAGCAGUGGGGAAUAUUGCACAAUGGGCGAAAGCCUGAUGCGGCCAUGCCGCGUGUGUGAAGAAGGCCCUAGGGUUGUAAAGCACUUUCAGUGGGGAGGAAAGGUUGAAGGUUAAUACCCUUCAGCUGUGACGUUACCCACAGAAGAAGCACCGGCUAACUCCGUGCCAGCAGCCGCGGUAAUACGGAGGGUGCGAGCGUUAAUCGGAAUUACUGGGCGUAAAGCGUGCGUAGGCGGCUUUUUUAAGUUGGAUGUGAAAGCCCCGGGCUCAACCUGGGAACUGCAUCCAAAAACUGGAAGGCUUUGAGUGCGAGAGAGGAGUGUGGAAUUUCCUGUGUAGCGGUGAAAUGCGUAGAUAUAGGAAGGAACACCAGUGGCGAAGGCGACACUCUGGCUUGACA
RNAcentral lists this ribosomal RNA (748 nucleotides) under uncultured bacterium. Its description in RNAcentral is "bacterial SSU rRNA". It matches the Rfam family "Bacterial small subunit ribosomal RNA", at positions 1 to 739 of the family's 1533-position model. The record is from RNAcentral.